This 374-nucleotide ribosomal RNA is filed under the name Stenotrophomonas maltophilia. RNAcentral describes it as "bacterial SSU rRNA". It matches the Rfam family "Bacterial small subunit ribosomal RNA", at positions 551 to 924 of the family's 1533-position model. Lineage: Bacteria; Pseudomonadati; Pseudomonadota; Gammaproteobacteria; Lysobacterales; Lysobacteraceae. The record is from RNAcentral.
UUACUGGGCGUAAGCGUGCGUAGGUGGUCGUUUAAGUCCGUUGUGAAAGCCCUGGGCUCAACCUGGGAACUGCAGUGGAUACUGGGCGACUAGAAUGUGGUAGAGGGUAGCGGAAUUCCUGGUGUAGCAGUGAAAUGCGUAGAGAUCAGGAGGAACAUCCAUGGCGAAGGCAGCUACCUGGACCAACAUUGACACUGAGGCACGAAAGCGUGGGGAGCAAACAGGAUUAUAUACCCUGGUAGUCCACGCCCUAAACGAUGCGAACUGGAUGUUGGAUGCAAUUUGCCACGCAGGAUCCAAACUAACGCGUUAAGUUCGCCGCCUGGAGAGAACGGCCGCACGACUGAAACUCUAAGGAAUUGUCGGGGGCCCCC